Molecule: ribosomal RNA, 96 nt
Filed under: Minisyncoccota bacterium
Lineage: Bacteria; Bacillati; Minisyncoccota
Description: partial 23S ribosomal RNA
Rfam family: Bacterial large subunit ribosomal RNA
Source: RNAcentral
UUGCAGGAAUGUAAGGGUGUAUGGUGGAUGCCUUGGCUUCAAGAAGCGAUGAAAGACGUGAUAUGGCUGCGAUAAGUUUCGGGGAGGUGCCAAAUA